AUUUAUAUACUAUAAUCCAUAUCUGAUUUCGUCUUUUUAGGCUAUCAUUUUUUGGUGGCCUCCAUCUCUGUUCUUGCCCACAUCGGAUCUGGGAUUUCCUUGCUUUGUCUUCAAGGGUUUUGUUCAAUCCUGGACUUUUAUUUGGAGAUUGGCGUUAUGGGGAUUCGUUGCUGAUCUCUAGUUGAUUAUUAGUGGAAAGGCAACACAGGCGUGAAAAAUAAGUUGCUUUUGCAAUUAUUGAAGAUCGAUAAGCUCCAUUGCAAGUUAAAACUGGAAAGUGUUGUUUACUUGAUGCAGUUAGAUAUCUUUAUUGGUAAUGGUCGCCAUAACAUAUAAUUUGUCUAGUAAAUUUUCAAUUUCCUGAAUGGGUUGACUUUGAGGAUUGAAUUCUUUAAAUAGUUUGUGAAUACAUAGGGGCGUUAGUCAUUUUGCGAGUAAGGAGAAGGUAAAAAAUCAGAGUGGGUUUGGCAGCUAGAAAUGGAUCGUGUAAUUCUAAAAGAGAGAGAUUUUGAGGUUGAUCUUGAAAAUGGAGUGCAAGCUAGUGAUGAAGAUCAAAGCAAAGACUCUAUUUCUGGUGUAAAAAUACAAUCGAAGGAGUUGCUUGCUAAGAUUUGUGCCAUCUUUGCUGAUGGAGCAAUGAAGAGUGAAGACGAGUUAAUUCUAUGCCCUCAUGCACCGAAUUCAAAUGGGGUUUCUGUGGAGCAAGUAAACUUAGAUGGAGAGAAAACUGUUGAUCAUGUAGAGAAGAAAGUGGUAAAGGAGAAGCGUAAAAAGAUGAGAAUUAAAAAGGCUUCCAAACCUCCUAGGCCUCCGAGAGGUCCAUCAUUGGAUGCUGCUGACCAGAUGCUGAUCAAGGAGAUUACUGAACUUGCUAUGUUGAAGCGUGCGAGGGCUGAGCGAAUGAAAGCCUUCAAGAAAAUGAAAGCAGCAAAGGCAUCAUCAUCUAAUAGCAAUGUCUUUGCAAUGGUGUUCACAAUUAUCUUCUGUUUAGUGAUAAUCUUUCAAGCAAUGUCAUCGAGGGUUACACCUGUAAAUGUACAAGGAUCCCCUUUAUCAACAGAAACGGCGGAGAGUGGUUUGAUUACAGUGCGGUACUUUGGGAAUCCAUCUGCAAGUAACCCAAGUGAACAUUCUUCCGAGUCUCCAUAUUCUAUAAAGCCAAUUGCUGGUUUUGAUCCUCCUGAAAAUCUGAGAAGAGCUGUGGGAUAAAACAGAGAAAAUCUGUAAUGUUAUAGUCAAUCUUACAUUUGAGAAAGAAUAUUGCUAGGUCUUUCAGUUCUCAUGCAAGCAUUAUAUGACUUGCACUU
RNAcentral lists this unclassified non-coding RNA (1307 nucleotides) under Hevea brasiliensis (rubber tree). Lineage: Eukaryota; Viridiplantae; Streptophyta; Magnoliopsida; Malpighiales; Euphorbiaceae. The record is from RNAcentral.